UACUCGUAUGUGAACUUUUUCCAUACAUUUCUUUAGAAGUCCAUAAGUUUUUUAGUACCUUCAUCAACAUGACAAUAUUUUGUCACAUUUUUCGUUAUUAUGGUUGAUCUUAUAAUUAUUCCAAAUAAGGGAUAGUGAUUUUUGUUCAGCACCUACUGUAAGGGGGAAGCUUUGCUUUUGAAGAGUUCUCCUGUUUAAUGCUGUAGAAAGAUAUACGAAUAAGUUUUACAUAUUACAGAUGAAACAGCCUUUCAACAACUCUAGCCAUUGAGAAACUGACUAGUGUUAUAAAUUCUGGCUUUGAGCAAAGACAAUUUAUGUGUUCACAAUUUUUAGACCUUACCAAAGCUUUUGACUGUGUGUCCUAUGAAACUCUUACAAAUAAAUUGCAUUACUAUGGCUUUACAAUUCAGAGUACCGAUUUAAUAACAUCAUAUCUUACCAAUAGGCAACAAUAUGUAACCCAA
This is a long non-coding RNA of Anoplophora glabripennis (Asian longhorned beetle), 467 nucleotides long. RefSeq lists it as uncharacterized. The transcript is spliced from 3 exons. Lineage: Eukaryota; Metazoa; Arthropoda; Insecta; Coleoptera; Cerambycidae. The record is from RefSeq and is a predicted model, not a curated record.